RNAcentral lists this ribosomal RNA (460 nucleotides) under uncultured bacterium. RNAcentral's name for it is "partial 16S ribosomal RNA". It matches the Rfam family "Bacterial small subunit ribosomal RNA", at positions 338 to 795 of the family's 1533-position model. The record is from RNAcentral.
CCUACGGGAGGCAGCAGUGAGGAAUAUUGGUCAAUGGACGAGAGUCUGAACCAGCCAAGUAGCGUGAAGGAUGACUGCCCUAUGGGUUGUAAACUUCUUUUAUAAAGGAAUAAAACGAGGCACGUGUGCCUUUUUGCAUGUACUUUAUGAAUAAGGAUCGGCUAACUCCGUGCCAGCAGCCGCGGUAAUACGGAGGAUCCGAGCGUUAUCCGGAUUUAUUGGGUUUAAAGGGAGCGUAGAUGGGUUGUUAAGUCAGUUGUGAAAGUUUGCGGCUCAACCGUAAAAUUGCAAUUGAUACUGGCAGUCUAGAGUACAGUUGAGGUAAGCGGAAUUCGUGGUGUAGCGGUGAAAUGCUUAGAUAUCACGAAGAACCCCGAUUGCGAAGGCAGCUUACUAAACUGUGACUGACAUUGAUGCUCGAAAGUGUGGGUAUCAAACAGGAUUAGAUACCCUGGUAGUC